RNAcentral lists this long non-coding RNA (4179 nucleotides) under Homo sapiens (human). RNAcentral's name for it is "HSALNT0309593". Lineage: Eukaryota; Metazoa; Chordata; Mammalia; Primates; Hominidae. The record is from RNAcentral.
UUCCGAAGAGCAGAGCUUUCUAGACUAGGUCACUGUGCUAUUCUCCUCAUGAUACAGGUUAACACAAGAGUUGAAUAUAGACUCUCAUUAGAAAAUAUGUAACAUUUCAAAUGCUACAAUUAAACACAGUACAAAUCUGUUCAAAAGGCCAGGAGAUGAUUAACUUUCUCUCUCACUUAUUCUCAAGCUGGAUGCAAAUCAGCGUCUUCCAAGACGAGGCAAGUGAAUAUCCCAGUAAAUUGGCAAUACAAUUUAGAUGGCAGGCAAGGAUCUCAAAGAUAAAUGACUUAAACAAAGAAGGGAAAGAUGAACCUGUCACUUCUUCUCAACUCAUCAAGCUGUCUCGCAGAGAAAGUUGAUGAUCCUGGAGCAGAAAUGUUUCUGCCAUCCCCUGAAGGUGAAGGCUCACCCGGCAAUUCUUCAAUCUGCACGUGAGGCUCCUCAACACUCUUCCACGCCAGGCAAAGCUACGGGACUUCCCUCUUCCAUCCACGUUUUUUUUAAAAGGCCCAAAUUUGGGGUUACAAAGUAAACUAACACAAUUUGUCAGUGGAAUGAAAGAAAGACCUAAGAUAAGUGCAGAUAAACAUGGUGGUAUCAAAGGAAUACGAUAAACUAUGAAGACAGAAUACAGAAAAAGUGACUGGCAAAGGAUUUUAAAACAUACAAAGAGAAAAAGGUACCACCAACAACAUGAUAGCGUGCCAGACUGAUUAUGCCAAAUUAUUCCAGCUAAAGAAACUACACAAAAUUUUAAAGAAAAAUGGAUUAUGCUAAAUUAUUCCAGCUAAAGAAACUAUACAAAAUUUUAAAGAAAAAUAGAUUAUGCUAAAUUAUUCCAGGUAAGAAACUACACAAAAUUAUAAAGAAAAAAAGAUGAGAAGAUCAAGAUAAAUGAGGAACAGGAGACGCAAGAGUUCUAAAGAAGGGAAAAUGUAAGACGUAAAGGCCAAAAGUCGAUUUUGAAAUCAGGAACCUUGAGACAGAUCCAGUUAAGUGCAAUAAUUGGUUUUCUUUUUAAAAAAUUAACACAGUUUGAUUAAUAUAGGCUUAACAACUUAUCAGGUCUAAUUUGCUUCCUAUUUUUAGAUAUGAACACCAACAGAAGAAGGAGUUUAGAAACUUCUGUAAUCUUUCCAUUUCUCACAGGCACACUCUCCUUCGGAUAGCUUCUCACUUUUAAGAAAAAUGGAUGUAUCUACCACAACUGAAGCUGUUUUCCUAUUUCCAGAAAUAAUUAUCCUUACAACAAUCUACAUAAAAAAGACAUUUUCUUCUUAAAGUGGGGGAGAGAAGAUGUCUUGGUUGGAACCUGAGAGAAUUAUUCGUCUCCUCCCUGCUCUGUUAAUAAUGAGCCAGCAGCGGUGGCCCUGUGCACGGGAAGAAGUGACAGUGACACACAGGUUGAAUUAUACAAUGUAUUGUGAUGCAAUUAGGAAGAAGGAUGAGAUGACAAAACAGAUUUCCACUUGGUCUUCAACAGGGCUUUGUGCAUUAAGUCAUUGUAAUACUCUCCCCAGCACCCAUCCAUUAUUAUUACUUAACCAGCAUUACCUCCCAGAAACCUACCUUUUCUGAUACGUGAAGUUCCUCUGGGGAAGUUUUGCCCUUUGUGAUGUUAUAGUAACAUUACCCACAAACUUAGGAGAUGCAUGAUGAAUUUGAGGGUCCACAUAAACAUUUUUAAAACGAUCUAAAUUCUAUAUGAUUAACAUAUAAACCAGGUAAAUUUUUUUUGCAUAGGCCAUGGCUACUGAAGAGUUAAGUAUAUAGCAGAGAGAAACUUUUCAUGGUUUUUUUUUUUUUUUUUUGCUUUAAUAAGAAAUUAAGUUUAUCAAUUGCCAUUGUAAUCGCUCACAGCACCUCAGGUAAUUAAAAGGGAUCUAAACCUAAUUUUAUUUACAUUUAGAAUACCUGAGGCCAUCUCCGAUCAAGAUUUCACAUUUGUGACUAAUAAUGUUAAGUGUUAAUUAGAGUUCAGCAGAGAAUACUGAUUGAUUUUGAAUCUGUAAUCUGCUGUGAUUUAGGAAUAGUGAGGAAGUCAAAGUAUUCUUUUCUGUUACCGCAGUUUCUAUGCAUUAGUGAAAUUCUUCAAAGAAUCAUGUAUGCCUUUUAAUUCUGGCAGGAUUCAUUUUUGUAAAAAUUGUGGCUCCUCAUUAUACUGUACACUUCUACUUGUGAGAAAGCACAUCACAUUAAAUUAGGUUUAUCUGGACCCAUCUUAAUGUACGAGACCUACAAUGACAUUUUUAAUGUAGUAACAAUUUUUUUGAUUUCCCCCUAUAUUUUAUUAACACAUUUUUUAAGCAUACAAAAAAAAUUUGAAAGCGAACACCUCCUUCCACUCCGGCUACAUUUUAUAAUUGUAACAUGUUGCUACAUACUUGCUUUAUUAUAUAUCUAUCCACCCAUCCAUCCGUCCGUCCAUCCGUCCGUCCGUCCGUCCAUUUCAUUUUCUGAUGCAAUUCAACUACGGUGCAGGCAUCAGUUCACUCCCACACAUUUCAACAUGCACGUGAUUAACUAUUAGGUUCUUUUUUUGAGAUUAAAUGUACAUACUGUGAAAUGCAAAACAUCUUAGUUGUACCGGUCCAUGAAUGUUGACAGAUGCCGUGUAACCCAAGCCACGAUGAAAAUAUCCCCCUGAGGAGUUCCUCUGGGCCACCCCCAACCCCAACCAAUCCCUCCUUCUCACUUCCUGGCAACCAUUCUUCCGAUUUCUUUCAUCACCAAUCAGUUUGCCCGUUGUAGAACUUCAUAUAAAUGGAAUCAUUCUUUUCUGUGCGUGCCUCUUUCCACAGAGCAUAAUGUUUUGUGGGUACGUCCAUAAAAACAAGUUUUCAAACCACAUCUCUGGCAUAACAAGAUACUAGAAUCCUGUGAUGACAGGGACGUCACAAGGUCUUUUUCUCUCCACAGUGACACACAGCAGUCCGUCCUCUGCUUCCUAACAGGACUCUAUGAGAACAUGGUGAUGUCCUACCACAAAGAAAGCAACACCUGAUUAUCAAUAACUUCUCUGGUCCGGCCAAGGAUGAGCAAGGAACAAAGAGCUUUUAGAACAUUAAGCAUACAUCUAAAUUUAUUUGACCUGAGGAUCCAGCCUGGCCUCUCAAGAGCAGACGCUCACAUGAUAAAACGUGCUGGGAACUCACCAUGUACUCAGCAAAGGGAAGCAAAGGGGUAUUAAUCAAUGUUUUGAUUAAUUACACGUACAUAGAAUUUAAGACAAAGUAAAGGCUCUUCCAUCCCCGCAAGUCCCCAGAGAAAAUUUAUAACAGCAAAGUAUCAUCAUUACUAAAUUAGAGCGUGACCAGAGGGGGAAAAAAAGUUGGCUGAAUGGACCAGCAGGUGAGAUGAAGAGUUGAUUGUCUUCAAACGUAAAAUAUCUCAAGCAAGAAAAGAAGAAAAAAGUCUCUUCAAUAAAUGUUGGCAAUAUUUUCGAGAUUUUUUUCUUUUUUUGGUGCAAGGACAGUAAAGGAAAACAAAGGGCACUCAACUAAUUAGAAGAUAAACUGUGAUUCUCCGAAGAAAACCAGCCCCCAUCUCAGGAAACUUCCAUAGGAGAGGACAUGACUCACCAGUCCAUUCCCAGGUCCAACCACUGUUUCUAAUGAAUGAACUGGCGCUAUUAUUUAAAAGGAUCAGAAUCUAUAGUGAGGUAGUAGAACAGAGUAUGGGGGCAGGGAACCUAAGGCCGAUUCACGCUGACUUCCUAGAACUAAAUCGAACGAAAACCCCAACUUUCCACACCUAAGUAACAAAAGGACCUGAGGCUGCUCCCUUUGCAACCCCCUCCCUGCCUUUUCUGCAAGGCAGAUGGAAAACUGAAAGUGCCUCCACCUGGUUGCUUUCUGCAACCAAUCAAUCAGACAUUUGCAUAGGAGUGUAACUUUGUAACUUUGCUUCAGCCUUUGAUUGGUUGCUUUCCACAACCAAUCAGACUGACCGUAGGCCAAAUCUUCAUUUGCAUAGAAGUGUAACCUUUGUAACCUCACUUCCACCUUGGAUUGGUUGCUUUCUGCAACAAAUCAGACUGACUGGGGGCCAUGACUUCAUUUGCAUGGGGUGUACACCAAAUGGCCAAUGGGAAACCUCUAGAGGAUAUUUAAACCCCAGAAAAUUCUGUUACUGGGUUCUUGAGCCCCUAUGCUCCGGCUGCUCCCACCCUGUGGAGUG